RNAcentral lists this long non-coding RNA (1164 nucleotides) under Heterocephalus glaber (naked mole-rat). RNAcentral's name for it is "lncRNA (ENSHGLG00000034567.1)". Lineage: Eukaryota; Metazoa; Chordata; Mammalia; Rodentia; Bathyergidae. The record is from RNAcentral.
AGGCCUUGUUCUAGGCCUGACAUCACGUUCAUGAGGUCUGCGGAGUUUUUAUCCUGUUGGAAGGAGACAGAUAAAAAUGUUGAAACCAGGCUGGGGAUUUAGCUCAGUGGUUCCGCCACCUGCCUUGCAAGCACAAGGUCCCGAGUUCAAUCCUAGGUACCAAAAAAAAAAGAACCACAAAGGGCUGUAUUAGGUCAGGUGGUACAAGGGCCAUAAGGUAAUUACGGCGGGUGAGCUGUCAGGGACAGGUGUGUGAGCCAUUUAAAUGGUCACAGAAAGCUUUUCUGAGGCAGACCUUGAAUGGAGACCUAAGGAGAGAUCUGUGGAGCCAUCUGUUUCCAAGCAGAAGAUACAGCAUGUACAAAGGCCCCGAGGCACGGGGCUGGAGGGGAGCUGAGAGGGGAAGAAGACGCUGCCGGGGCCCGGUAGUUGCAGCUGUGACACCCCCAGGCUGCACAGGAGAGCCAGCCCACCCGUCCCCUCUGUCCCUGCUCCCUGCUCCUUGCUGAGGAACACCUGCAUCAACGUUGCCGUGAGCCCAGUGCCUGUUUCACAGCUCCCUCCUAGAGCUGUGGGCUGUCCAGAUCCCGGAGCAGGGCUGACGUGAAGAGAUGUCACACCAGGGUCAUGGAGCUGAGGGCAGGCUGAAGAGCGUACACAGGACCCUCGGCAGAGAAUGGCCUGCUGACUUGGAGAAUGUAGUCAUCCCCCGCGCACUGAGGCCGGAGGCCAGGGAGGCUGAGGUCCCGCCACCCCUUCUUCCUGCCAGGCUCCCCGAACCAGGUGGUGGGAGAGGCUGCUCCCCUUUGCUGGAGGUCCCUGCCCGACGUCCACACAUAAGACAACCUGUCCAGCGAGGCUUUUGUGAGCCACUAGAGCCACCCUACAGCUCACCUGGGCAGCAUGUAGGACAGUUCUGUCCCCUCGGUGCCCCGUGUUCUGGAUUCCCGUCCCCAGCUUACUGUCCUGACCCUGACAGUCCCAGCUCCUGCCUUCUCCAGCGCUUCCUGCCAGCUCUCUGUGUGGCUCACAAGAUUCCUGUCCCUCUGGUCGCUCCACUGACGCGGGGAAGGCUGGGCCUCGUUUGUCCUCCGUCCUGGGCUCCUGACACCCUGCUACUCCCUAGCUGCAUCCACCGUCAGCACCUACUCCAUCACCCACCCA